This 71-nucleotide transfer RNA is filed under the name Dipodomys ordii (Ord's kangaroo rat). It matches the Rfam family "tRNA". From Rfam's summary of the family: Transfer RNA (tRNA) molecules are approximately 80 nucleotides in length. The record is from Rfam by way of RNAcentral. Lineage: Eukaryota; Metazoa; Chordata; Mammalia; Rodentia; Heteromyidae.
UGAGAUAUAGUUUAGUGGUAGAAUAUUUGCUUAGCAUGUACAAGAUUUUGGGUUCAAUCCCAGUAUCUCAG